GAUGAACGCUGGCGGCGUGCUUAACACAUGCAAGUCGAACGAAGCACCAUGGACAGAAUUUUUCGGAAGGACGACUAUGGCGACUUAGUGGCGGACGGGUGAGUAACGCGUGGGUAACCUGCCCUGUACCGGGGGACAACAGUUGGAAACGACUGCUAAUACCGCAUAAGCGCACGGUAUCGCAUGAUACAGUGUGAAAAACUCCGGUGGUAUAAGAUGGACCCGCGUCUGAUUAGCUUGUUGGUGAGGUAACGGCCCACCAAGGCGACGAUCAGUAGCCGGCCUGAGAGGGUGAACGGCCACAUUGGGACUGAGACACGGCCCAGACUCCUACGGGAGGCAGCAGUGGGGAAUAUUGCACAAUGGAGGAAACUCUGAUGCAGCGACGCCGCGUGAGUGAAGAAGUAGUUCGCUAUGUAAACUCCUGUUGUUGAGGAAGAGUAAUGACGGUACUCAACAAGGAAGUGACGGCUAACUACGUGCCAGCAGCCG
Molecule: ribosomal RNA, 492 nt
Filed under: uncultured bacterium
Lineage: Bacteria
Description: bacterial SSU rRNA
Rfam family: Bacterial small subunit ribosomal RNA
Source: RNAcentral